UGGUGGAGUGAUUUGUCUGGUUAAUUCCGUUAACGAACGAGACCUUAGCCUGCUAAAUAGUUGUGAGAAACUUCGGUUUCUUAGCAGCUUCUUAGAGGGACUUCGUGUGUUUAACACGAGGAAGUUUGAGGCAAUAACA
This 139-nucleotide ribosomal RNA is filed under the name uncultured eukaryote. RNAcentral describes it as "partial 18S ribosomal RNA". It matches the Rfam family "Eukaryotic small subunit ribosomal RNA", at positions 1299 to 1458 of the family's 1831-position model. The record is from RNAcentral.